Canis lupus familiaris (dog) is the source of this 536-nucleotide long non-coding RNA. RefSeq lists it as uncharacterized. NCBI's taxonomy places the organism in Eukaryota, Metazoa, Chordata, Mammalia, Carnivora, Canidae. The transcript is spliced from 4 exons. The record is from RefSeq and is a predicted model, not a curated record.
UCUUGGAGGAGGAGAAGCAAGACGGCGGAAGAGUAGGGGUCCUCAACUCACCUGGUCCCGCCAACUUACUUUCAAAACAUCCUAAACACCUACUGAUUUGACCCGAUAUUUAAAGAGAGCUGCCUGAACGCUACAGAGUGAAAAGUUUUUGCUUCUAACAAGGAUAACUGAUGAGAGAUAAGAAGAAUUGUAAUAAUAUUCAUCUAUACAAGUAUGGUGGUCUUUGUGUCUUCCUCUAGGCCAUAGAACUCUACCACUGAGGGAAUUUAUGGUAGAUUUACUCCUGGCUUCUCCUCUGGGAGUAGAAUCCAUCUCAAAAAGGCAAAUUAUGGCAGUCCUGAUUUCUUGGAAGUUUCUGCUUUUUGUCAGGACACUCCUGUAAAUGAAGCAUUAUCCUCAGAGAUUUUCUUGGCUGAAAAUAUUGUCUGGCUAAUUUCUACAUUUGAGUGUUGACUGCAAAGUGGCACUGAAGUUCAGCAGGACACAUUUCCUGUCUAUAUCCAUGACUGGUUGUGCAACUGGUGCGAACUCUCAGG